Manis pentadactyla (Chinese pangolin) is the source of this 10048-nucleotide long non-coding RNA. RefSeq lists it as uncharacterized. The transcript is spliced from 12 exons. NCBI's taxonomy places the organism in Eukaryota, Metazoa, Chordata, Mammalia, Pholidota, Manidae. The record is from RefSeq and is a predicted model, not a curated record.
GCCUGUCUUUGCUUUCCAACCCCACCGAUCCUCCAGAGCAUCACGUAAGAGCACCGACCCGCCAAGGAAACUGGAACGAAGAGGAGAAGAUGUGAUACGGGAACCUCGAGCCUAAACUGAGAGCAGCCGGAUGUGGAUCCCUGUGUUCCGCAAGUGGCAGGAAUCUCCAGUCUCUCCAAGUACUCCGCCUGUCUUUGCUUUCCAACCCCACCGAUCCUCCAGAGCAUCACGUAAGAGCACCGACCCGCCAAGGAAACUGGAACGAAGAGGAGAAGAUGUGAUACGGGAACCUCGAGCCUAAACUGAGAGCAGCCGGAUGUGGAUCCCUGUGUUCCGCAAGUGGCAGGAAUCUCCAGUCUCUCCAAGUACUCCGCCUGUCUUUGCUUUCCAACCCCACCGAUCCUCCAGAGCAUCACGUAAGGAAGCUCCUCCGGGUGCUCCUGUUGCCGAGUGAGAACUGGGGAACUCUAGUUGGAGAAUGGUGUUGUCAUCCCCUUUGCUAAUAACCCACUUUAUCCGCAAGUGAAUGACUGUUUUCUUGGAGACACUUUCUUCUUGGUGAAUUUAAGAAGUGACUUGUGGCAUCCAAGACCUGAACUAGCCCCAGCGGAGAUGCACUUCUUUCUUCCGAGAACCAUUUUAAAAAUCGUUGCCAGAGAAUUUUCAUGUUAACAUCUGAUUAUUGGUAGUAACAAAAGUAUUGUUUGUUAAAUUUCAUUUAAAACUCAUUUAAUUUUUGUAAUGAGAGCUAAGCUACUGCAGGAAAUCCUCGGCACUUGGGUAGCUGUUUGGUUGUAAGUUAGUUUAUAUUAUUAUUUUCUAUUUUGAGGAAGAUUAAGGAAGUUCAUCAAAUACUAACAUUAAGUUGUUAUCAGAAUUAUUUAAGUGCCUUAUUUCUCACCAUAAACACAAAUCCCUUUAUCUAAGUAUGGUUCAUUUAAAAUAAUAUUACUUUAGCCUUACAUAUUUUUAAAGGAUAAGUGGUAAAAAGUUAACAUAUUUAAUAUAGUUAUAUAGUAAAAUCAUAUUUUAAUCUAUAUAUACUAAUAUUUUACUGUUUUGUGUUUUUUAACUUUCAUUCUUACCAGAGAGUUAUACAUUUUAAAAAUAUUUAGAAGGUAUAAAUGGAAGAAGAGGGAAGAAAAAUUAAAAAAGAACACAUAUUUCCCUUUUUAGGCAAACUUUGCACUCUGGAAAUACAAUCUUCAUAUUUCUGUCUUUAUCAGUUAUGUGAUGCCAUUGAUAAGAAGUUUUCUUAAUUGUGAACAAUCGUCCAAUGUGUUAAAGGAAAGCCCGUCAUAUUAAGACAUAAUGGUUUUUAAUAUCAAGGACACUAUGGGAAACUACUGUUAUGACAAGAUGCUGUUGACAAGAUUGUUUUCAAGUUAGCCUAGACGGAAGCUUCACUUUAAUUGCAUAUUGCAGCAGGUGGAAAGAGUAUGCCUGUGACCAAAAUAGUAACAUAAAUUUGGAGGGACUGCUUAAACAGUGUUCUCAAGGCUCCUGUGGGAACAAGACUGCUCUGUGCUGUUGAAAACCUAUUUCUCCUGUCACCCAGUCUAGCCACCUAGCAAGGGUUUGAAUGUCACAUGGUGACACAGCAUCCCAAUAGUAUCUCUUGGGAAACAUUUUUUUGUCAAGACAAUAUCAAGGGUCCAUAGAAAUUGAAACAACACAAAGGAAAAUAAAACUGAGGACGGGAGGCUAAUCCACCUCUCUGAGCAGCAGUGCCGUCUCUCAGAUACACUGAUUCAAUAGACCACAGCAAUGUCUUUCUUUGAUAUUUGCUCCACAGAGUUCCCACAUCAAGCUAUUUCACUGCACAGCUUGCUUUAUUAUUUCUUUCAAACAAAGGUCAAGAAAAUGCAUUACAAGGCAGUUUCUCUUUAAACAAAAUCAGAAGUGUUAUAUAUUAAUUUUUAAAAUACCUGAUCUUAGGAACAGUGUACACAAGCAGAAAGCCCGACUCUUACUUCUUUCCUUCAGUCCCCUAGAGUGUACGGUAUGUUCUUUGUGCCUCUGUUAGGGUGCCAGUACAUACCUUUUGCUUUUGAAAGAUAUCUACUGAAGAUUUCCCUGUUGCAUUUGCCAGUUAUCUCUUGUGCUAUUUUUUUGUGCCUACCAACAUUAUAAAAAUUGUUAAUCUUAUAAUAGGAUGACGAUGGCACCUCAGUCUUUUAUAAGAUUGAUAAUAUUGUUCUAGACUUAGAAAUAUAGCCAUACUAUGACUUCAUCCUAUUUUUUAAAGAACAAAUGAAAUUGAACUUUGAUUAUAUUAUACCUGGCAAGUAUGACUAUGUUUUUUUUCUUUCCUGGGGUACUUAGCAAUAGUUUUUAUCUUAGUAAUUUGUUUUGUUAAAUUCUUAAGUAUAUCUUUUUCAUUUUCUCAGAAUGUGUUGAACUUUAUAAAUAUUCACAAAUAUAAAAAGAAUAGAAUUAUGAACUUCAGUAUACCAACCAUAUUGAUUCAUAAAGUAUGCUUUAUCUUUCCCUUUUACUUUUAUUUUCUUGCUGAAGUGCUUUAAAGCAAAUCCCAGAUACUAUGUCAGUUCAUCCCUAUGUAGAUUUUUCUUUUUUAAAUAACCACAGUGUCAUUUUUAUACCUGGCAAAUUUAACAAUUUCUUGAUGAUAAAAUACCAGGCCACAUGCAGAUUUUGCCAGUUGUGUUAGAAGUGCCUUCUACUGUUAGCUUGUUUGAAUCAAAAUUCACACAUUUGGUUGUUGGAAGUAAUUUGCUUUCAUUGAUCAGAUUUUAAAAUCCUUAUUACCCAUGUGUUGAGAAGGUCGAAUCUUACUUCAAAACCGAACCAACAAAAACUACUUUUCCUGCUUCCUUGAAAGACAAAGCAAAAUGUGCUGUAAGAACUAUUAUAAAUGAAAUACAUAACAGAGCACCUGAUGAAAAACUUUCUGCUUCAAAUAGAAAAAUUCCUUCUCAAACAUUGCUACUCCAAUACCCUAUAUUAGUUUUUGGUAAGAUUUAAUGAAGAUGGUCUGAUGUAGCUUGUAUAAAAUAGGAUCCUUUAAAAAGUGUCUUUAAUACCAAUUUAGAGCCAUACAGAUAGAUUUUAUUGUAAGAAAGCAUGAAGUGGCUAAAAUGUCAAACAUUAUAGUUGAACAUUCCUGGUUUCUGAGCUGUCUUCCUAACCUUGCCUGGACCUAAAAAAAUUGAUACCUCUCAUGGUUUCUCUGUCUGUGGCUUUUGAUAUUUUUUUAUCUCUAAUUAAAGUAAGAAAUAUAUUUUUUAAUCAGGAUCUGAUAAUACACACACAAACACACCUCAACUAAAAGUUUCUUGAAGCUGUACCCUGUAAAUAGCACGGUGAUAUUUUCUAUUCUAUUGUAUUUAUUUAUAUGUAUUCUUUUUUAAUUGUAGGCUAUACUCACUGAGUUGAUUUUAUGAAUUGGUUGGAAAACAUGGACAUAGUGGUUAGAAUCAUAUUUUUAGCAUCUAAGGGACCUGGAUUCAAAUACCACGUCUGCCAGUUACUAGCAGCACCUCCAUGGAUCUCAGUUUAAAUAUGCUUCUCAUGCAGGUUUUCUGGACAUAAGUUAUUUGUGCUAAGGGAAGUAUGAUUAUCCUCAAACUUCUACCAGUAUAAUUAAUAUAACUAAUGAGUCACUCCUUAGAUUGAUACAUACAUCACCCCACAUCAGUGUUUUUCCUCUCUUAGACUAGCACUGCUCUGCCGUUGCUAGGAGAGGUUACCUGAGCUGUCCAGAGAUGCAGAACUUCUCUGUGUCCACUAUUUUUUUUUUUUGGUAUCAUUAAUCUAGUCUUUAUCCAGUAAUACUGACAAUAAUGGCUCAUUGCCAAAGGGUGUGUAAGCUUUAGCCUCGGCAGUAGGCCAAUUACAUCAUCAGGUAGUUUAGGGUCAGGUGAAGAUCCUGGCUGUAGCAACUUCCAUUUUCCCUACAGGCACCCACCUGGGCAGUGUGCCAGGAGGGUUUGAGGGACAGCAGGAAGGCCAGUGUGAAGCCAGCAAAGGGGAAGAUAAUAGAAAAUGUCAGGAUAAUGGAAGCAGGGACACAGUCUGUUGUUAAAAACAAGACAACAUGCCCCAAAUGGAUCUGCUUACCCAAAACGGAGCCGCGUAUCACUGAAUCAAGACUUAAUUACAGUUUGGCUCUCAGAGCUGGAAUCCUAGAGUAGUCACUCAGAAAACACCAGCUCUAGCUCAGGGACCUGCCUGACAGACGCUGGCCAACUCCUACAGGAAAGUGACCGUGCAGUAACCAGUCCUUUUUUUGUUUUCCAGUGUGACUUCCUUGUUCCUGAGCCCUUCAGCUUAUGAAAACCUUUCACUCUGUGCAGCUCUUUAAAGCUACUUUCCACCUGCUAGAUGCGAUGCUGCCCAAUUUGUGAGUCAUUGAAAACAGCCAGUAAGAUCUUUAAAAUUUACUCUAGUGGAAUUUUCUUUUUGAACACUAUGGAGGGUUUUCUGGCUCUUACUCUAAGAUAGAAAUGGAACACUUACUUAUGUUCCAGGCAUUGAAUGGGUGCUUUCUUAUGAAAAUGUUUCCUACUGCUACCAAACAGAUAAAAAGUAGCUCCUUUUCAGAAGAAGCAAGUGGAGCUGAGAAUUAAAUGUUAGCCCCAGAUCGUACUGCUACAAAACGGAAGAACCAAAGAAUGGAGGCCAGAGUCCAUGAAGGGCAGAGCUUGAAUGCAUGCGUCCUGGAGGGCAGGUAAGAAUCAGGAGCCUUGGGUAGAGUGUAACCCACUGAGUCACAAGGCUGCCGAAAAGCCAUCCUGUUGUGAAACACUGUCAUAAAGUGUUGCCAUGGAAUAGUUACAUCUCUCUUAGACCCCAAGUUUCACAUGCUCUGAAGCAGUUUAAAUUAUUCAUAGGUUCCAAAACAGGUAUGUAUGUGAAUCACUUAGGGAAUUCUUUUGAAAAUUCUGAUUUCAGAGCCCUGCCACAGAUAACUGAAUCAGGAAAUUACAGUCCCCCAAACUUUCUGAUGAUGGAACUAGUUUUUCUUGUAACACUUCAUAGAUAAAAGCAUAAAGGAGAAGCCAUUUCGGAAAUGUAAGCACAAUACAAAUCUUCUUGUGGUAUACAGACUUAGAUGCCAACCAAUUAAAGGAAAUAAAUAAAAAUAAAAGCCUUUAGUUUGGCCUGGUUUGUUGUUGACUUAACGGAUUUAUUUCUUUAUCCAGUUAGGUUUACAUUCCUGAAUCAUAGCUAUGCAGUGUCCAGUGUGCUUGUCUAACAUGUUUUUGAAAUAACCUUUGAUCAAUGUGACAUUUUAACCUAUUAAAAACAAAUAUGUGAAGCCAAGAAAUACAAUGGGUUUAAACUACUAGAAAGCUUUCAUUACUUUGCCUGUAAUUUCACCAUAGUUAUAAACAGAGAAGUAAAUUCUGCUUUUUCAAUAAUUGAUAGAAUAAUUUCCCAAGGACAACCAGGAUCAGCAAUUAUUCUAAAAAUCCCGACUGAUGUACCUCUUUAUGUUUCUUAACCAAAAAUGUUUUGUCUUUUACGCUGAUAACGAUAUGGCUUUGCCUUCUGGAUUACUGAAAUAGUGUCUGCUUCCAGUGGAAUUAUUUGCUUAUGCCAUAGGUGACCUGUCAUUAUUGUUCAAACAGUAGGAGGUGGAAGCCAGAGCUUUGAUGGUUCACACUGUGGAGGAACCUGGAGAUGUAUGUGCCCUGAAAUUGUCAUGACCCUCAUGCCUCUCCCAACCCCAUCCUGCUGCUCAGUGGCCCUUCAGCAAAUGAGCAACAGUCUCUAAGACAGUCCCCACCAAUCCACUAUGGGAGAAUAUUGGGGGCUUUUUAUUUAUUUUCUGUCUUAAAUAUUUGUUGCUGUAAGAUCACAUUGUGCUGCUUGACACAGAGCAAACAUUCACAAUCCCUGCUGAUGAAAGAUCAAUGAAUAUUGUUUUCAAAAUCAAUUCCAGAUAACAUCUCCCACUUAAAAUUUAAAAAACAAUAAUGUAUCUUAAUCAGAAAUGAUUAAAAUCAAAGUGACACUUUUCUACUAAGCUGAAGGAAUUUUAGCUUAUAAAAACUAUUUCAGUAAAAGAGUUAUAGAAGUCACAGUUCAGAGUCUGAAAAUAAACAGCAGUCUACCAAGAGUCUUAAGUGUGCCUGAUACAGAUUUGUAAUACUCACAAAGUACAGUUCUCCUUCUUUGCAGUUAGGCAGGACCUGUGCCACAUUCUGGUUGAGACUGGUGGAUUGAGAGCGGACACAUUUAACUGUCCAGGAAAGUCCUCCCGCAUUCUCUCCCCUGAUGCAGCAGUCAGAGCAGGUAGAGGUGAUGGAGUCCUGAGAUUGAAAUAGAUGAGUUCUUGGGUGACCAUAUGGAGGACAAUUGUACAAUAGCCCUGAAAAAGCAAUCAGAGUUUCAACAGAUUUUGCACAAAUGAAAAAUAACACUUUUGUUAAUUAAGCCACUGAGAUUUAGCUGCUAUUUGUUUUUGUACCAUAACCUAGCCUAGCCUGACUAAUACAGUAUGGACUGCAGGAAUAUGCUUAAUAAUGCCAGCAGUUUAACAUCACAAUAACCUCGUUAUAGAGGAUUCACCAACAAACCCUCUGUCCACUUAGGCCCUACUCACCGCCACCCCUUUUUUUUCCGAUAUCUGUGUAUGUGGCCUAACAUUUACAGUGUGCUUUUUUCAUUGUCAUCUCUAAACAGGUUCAACCUACACGUAUUAGGGUUACAAAAAUGUUCAAUCUUUCUGGUCCCUUACUCCUUGAUCCACUAUAUCAUUACCAAUCUCACAAAACCAGUCAUUGAUAAAACUGCGAGAGGAGCCGCAUUUCUCAGGGGCCAUGCUCACUGCUCCGGGUGUAGACCAGGCUGUCUCCUCACAGUUACAUGAGGUACAAAAGAACAUUUUCCUGGACACAUGUUUUUAAAAAGCAUUCAAAGGCAAUAACUAAAAAUCAUAAAAAUCUACCUAUCAUAGCUAGACAGUAGUUCAAAAUACACGCUUAUAUUACAUAUGAAAAAUUUUUUAAAUUAUAUACUAAAAACAAAUCAAGUUCACAUAAUCAAAUCAAGUUUACUGACAUUUCUUCUCCCUUUAAUGCCUUAGCUCUUCAAUCAAGUCUCCUGUCAGCAAAAGUUGUAUCUUCUUGUUCAUAAACUGGUUGGUAAGCUUUAAGCAAUUUGGGGAAAUUAAUUAAAUCAAUGGAAUGGAAAUUUUUCUCUUUAGGUGUUACUUAUUAAAUAUUGUAAAAAAAAUUUUCUAGUCAAAGUCUUUAGCUAGAAACAUGAAACAGUUACAAAGAAAUAACCACUUUAUAUGUAUUCUUACCUCCUGCAGGUGUUAUAUUUUGUUUUUCUAGGUUUCUUUUGAGGAAUUUCCCAUCAUCCGAAGAACCCAUUUAAUAAUGAAUAUAACCUUCAGAGACUUCACCCAGUUGAUCACCAGAAACUAAUUUAUAAGAAAAAGUAACCGCCUAAGGGAAGGAUGUUACUUUGAAUUUUGAAUGUGUUGGUUUUAAAUUACCCCAGCUUCAGCUUGUGCACUCUUUUAAAAAAUGUAGCUGAUUUUAGUGAAUUAUUCCUGAAAUGGCUGCAGCAGAAGAGUGCUUCACCCGACCUCUAUGGUCCAGAUAAAUGCCCUUGUGAUUACCUACUGAUAUAUAAAUGGGCUACUUCUCUCCACCCCUUGGAAACACCUAUUGAUAUGGAGAUGCAUGAAAGCCAGGGCAUCAUGAAGUCAUCAAAGUCCACAUCGUACGAGAACCGCUCCCGCCGCAGCUCCCUUUUUCUGAUCAGCUCUGUUGUCGUGGCUUCUGGAGUCCAGAGCUUAAACAAUGCAGAGGAGGUGACAUCAGCGGUGACCUGGACAUCACUACUGCUGAUGCCCUUUGUCUGCCAAGAAUCUCCAGGGACCCUUCUGUUACCUAAAGGAAACAUCCAGCCUAGAAAAGCACUUGGGCUUCCCGGCUAAUUAUCAAAGUCUUGGUAUCUCAGUAAUCCCUGUGGGCAACUAUCUUAACCUUCUGCUGCUGAAAUUUAGCACCAAUGUCAAGUAGAUAUUUUACAGUAUCAAGUCUACAGCUCUCAAUGGCUCUACUUAAAGGAGUUGAGUUGUUGAUUGACAGUGCAUCUAUCAUGGCUCCAGAUUUAACAAGAAGCUCAACAAUAUCUUGUUGUCCUGCAUGGCAUGCAAAAUGAAGAGGAGUCCACAGAAAAUUAUCUGUUGCGUUCACGUUAGCCCUAUAAAAUGAGGUAGAAGCACAAGAUAAAAAUAUGGGUUGUCCCAAGCAUCAGAAGCUAAAAUUGCAAAGUAAGAUUUUAUAUGUUUUAGAGAGGUUUUCAUCUAUAAACCAGGGAAGCUCUGAGUAAAAAACUGGGCCAUAAUUUUUCUUGACUCGUGUUCUGCAUUAUCUGACAGCUUUAACUUUCUUUAUGUAUAUGUAUUCUUUUAGUUUUAAAAGGCCCUUCAAUCCUAGGGGUUGCAAUUUUUGCAAAGGCUAAGGCCAAGGAAAAGUAUAAAAUUGCAUCGAAGGAAGAUAAAAACUGACAGGAAAUAUAAAUGUUACAUUAUUCCAUUUUGUAUCUAUUUUCUCUGUAUGUUAUGAAUUUUAAAUGCACUUUCAUUAUUAAAAUUCUAGGCAGUAUAAUGCAUUAUUUAAAAUUUUAAUCCUUUUUAAAAAUUCACCACCCCAAAGUUCAAAUUCUCAUUACUUUAUACUCCCUCUUCAUAAUAUACAAAUUUGAAUCCUUUUUUGAUAUUAAACAAACAUGGCAGUAAUAACAAUACCCUUUAUAUCAAGUAUGCAAUUACUGUGCUAGCAUGUGCUCUAUGUAUUUUAACUCAUUUAAUCUUCAACAAAUUCUGUGAGCUGAGCGCCAUAUAAAUGUGAGAAGACUGAGGUACAAAAAGGUUAAGAAACUUACCAGGUUAUUCAGCUAUGGUAGAAAAAGGAAUUAAACCUGAGCACCUGCUUUAGAUUAAAAAGUUAAAUCAAAAUGUCAUGCUUUGGUAUUUUAAAGAUAUUUUUACAAAUGAACCAAGGAAAAGACUGCUCCCUCUGAAAGAAGUAAUGAAACGCUGAAUGUUCUUGGUCUAAUUUAUGGCCACCACCCUGCUUAUUUGAAUUUUUUGGGGCACACAAAAGAGGCAGAUGAAAAAGCAACUCAAUGUUAAAUGAAUAUGUUCUAGAGACCUGCUGUAUAAUAUUGUGAAUAAUAUUAAUAUUAUUAAUAUUGUUAGUUAAUACUGAACUGUAUAUGCAAAUUUGUUAAGAGGGUAGAGGUUAUCAUUCUCACUACAAAAAUAAGAUUUUUUUAAUUUAAAAUAAAAGAAAAAGUGACUCCACAUCAUUUAGGUAGAGCGUGAGACCAAAUUAAAUUGUCUCGGGAGGCUAGAGAUACCCAUUCAGAAGGCUUCUUCUACCCCCAGAGUGAAAACUUCUUGGCCUUCACUUUGUGCACAGUAGUUAUUGAAGAACUAUCUUUGUGUACACGCCACUUCUAUAUUCCCAUUAGCCUGGGUACCCACGUAUCAGCUGUCUGUGACCUGGACUUUAGGAAUGAAGCGCUUUCUGCUACUAGGAGAGUUCUGCAGAUGAAUGUAUCUAAACCUUCCUUUCCCUUCUUUGCAAUGUGAAGACAUGAAAAUUUAAGCUUCUGUCAACCAGAAAACAUACCCUUUUUCAAGAAGAAACUUGACUGCUUCUAUGUUUCCACUUGCACAUGCCGUCAUUAGCGGUGUUUUGUAGUAAUUAUCCUGUAUAUCCACAGGCAUUCCUGACUCAAAUGCCUUUUUCAGAGAAGCCAGGUCUCCCGCCUUGGUGAUGAAAUUAAUGUUUGAAAAUACCUUCCCUGGAUCAUCAGUGUACCAAGCCGAGUCAUCCUGAAUGGGAUGUUCUGGUGGAUGGUCUCUGUUAAACCGACUGCAGUCAGUUACGUUCUGGCCUAUAGGAUCCCAAGACAAAAGACUUGCUUAAGUAUUUGGUUCCUUUGAAGAAAUCGUUAAUGUUGACCCCAGCUCCCAGGAUUUUUUCAUGAAGUUGAGCGACCGCAGCCAGCUGUUCUGAGGUCACAAACUCUUGCCUCUCCUCCAGGGUCAUCA